GAUGAACGCUGGCGGCGUGCCUAAUACACGCAAGUCGAGCGAACAGACGAGGAGCUUGCUCCUUUGAUGUUAGCGGCGGACGGGUGAGUAACACGUAGGUAACCUACCUAUAAGACUGGGAUAACUUCGGGAAACCGGAGCUAAUACCGGAUAAUAUUUCGAACCGCAUGGUUCGAUAGUGAAAGAUGGCUUUGCUAUCACUUAUAGAUGGACCUGCGCCGUAUUAGCUAGUUGGUAAGGUAACGGCUUACCAAGGCAACGAUACGUAGCCGACCUGAGAGGGUGAUCGGCCACACUGGAACUGAGACACGGUCCAGACUCCUACGGGAGGCAGCAGUAGGGAAUCUUCCGCAAUGGGCGAAAGCCUGACGGAGCAACGCCGCGUGAGUGAUGAAGGUCUUCGGAUCGUAAAACUCUGUUAUUAGGGAAGAACAAACGUGUAAGUAACUGUGCACGUCUUGACGGUACCUAAUCAGAAAGCCACGGCUAACUACGUG
RNAcentral lists this ribosomal RNA (497 nucleotides) under uncultured bacterium. Its description in RNAcentral is "partial 16S ribosomal RNA". It matches the Rfam family "Bacterial small subunit ribosomal RNA", at positions 28 to 507 of the family's 1533-position model. The record is from RNAcentral.